AACGUACGCUGGCGGCACGCCUAACACAUGCAAGUCGAACGAAGUAGCAAUACUUAGUGGCAGACGGGUGAGUAACAUGUAGGUAUCUGCCCUUUGGCCUGGAAUAACACGAGGAAACUUGUGCUAAUACCGGAUAAGUCUUUACGGAGAAAGCUUUAUGCACCAUUGGAUGAGCCUGCACUUGAUUAGUUUGUUGGUGGGGUAAUGGCCUACCAAGACUGUGAUCAAUAGCUGAUUUGAGAGGAUGAUCAGCCACAUUGGGACUGAGACACGGCCCAAACUCCUACGGGAGGCAGCAGUGGGGAAUCUUGCACAAUGGAGGAAACUCUGAUGCAGCGAUGCCGCGUGAGUGAAGAAGGCCCUUGGGUUGUAAAGCUCUUUCGUAGGGGAAGAAAAUGACUGUACCCGAAUAAGAAGGUCCGGCUAACUUCGUGCCAGCAGCCGCGGUAAUACGAAGGGACCUAGCGUAGUUCGGAAUUACUGGGCUUAAAGAGUUCGUAGGUGGUUGAAAAAGUUAGUGGUGAAAUCCCAGAGCUUAACUCUGGAACUGCCAUUAAAACUUUUCAGCUAGAGUAUGAUAGAGGAAAGCAGAAUUUCUAGUGUAGAGGUGAAAUUCGUAGAUAUUAGAAAGAAUACCAAUUGCGAAGGCAGCUUUCUGGAUCAUUACUGACACUGAGGAACGAAAGCAUGGGUAGCGAAGAGGAUUAGAUACCCUCGUAGUCCAUGCCGUAAACGAUGUGUGUUAGACGUUGGAAAUUUAUUUUCAGUGUCGCAGGGAAACCGAUAAACACACCGCCUGGGGAGUACGACCGCAAGGUUAAAACUCAAAUGAAUUGACGGGGACCCGCACAAGUAGUGGAGCAUGUGGUUUAAUUCGAAGAUACGCGCAGAACCUUACCAACACUUGACAUGUUCGUCGCGACUUUAAGAGAUUAAAGUUUUCGGUUCGGCCGGACGAAACACAGGUGCUGCAUGGCUGUCGUCAGCUCGUGUCGUGAGAUGUUGGGUUAAGUCCCGCAACGAGCGCAACCCUCACUUUUAGUUGCCAUCAUUUAGUUGGGCACUCUGAAAGAACUGCCAGUGAUAAGCUGGAGGAAGGUGGGGAUGACGUCAAGUCCUCAUGGCCCUUACGUGUUGGGCUACACACGUGCUACAAUGGUAUCUACAACAGGAAGCAAGACUGCGAAGUUAAGCAAAUCCCUAAAAGAUACCUCAGUUCGGAUUGCACUCUGCAACUCGAGUGCAUGAAGCUGGAAUUACUAGUAAUCGUGGAUCAGCGUGCCACGGUGAAUGCGUUCCCGGGUCU
RNAcentral lists this ribosomal RNA (1306 nucleotides) under uncultured bacterium. RNAcentral's name for it is "bacterial SSU rRNA". It matches the Rfam family "Bacterial small subunit ribosomal RNA", at positions 28 to 1381 of the family's 1533-position model. The record is from RNAcentral.